Molecule: long non-coding RNA, 258 nt
Filed under: Elaeis guineensis (African oil palm)
Lineage: Eukaryota; Viridiplantae; Streptophyta; Magnoliopsida; Arecales; Arecaceae
Description: long non-coding RNA (EGUI_LNC066865)
Source: RNAcentral
UGGGAUGUUGUAUAACUGAAGAAUUGAAUUGCACGAUAACUUACCACUAAAAGAUAAUUUUGGUAUAUCCAUCAAAUUUUAUCUCUUUUGAGUAGUCAUGAUAUAUUACUAGAUAUGAAUCUUGACUUGUAGACUCAUAAGAAUUAAAUAAAUUUAAUUUAAAAAUUAAUUAAAAAGAGUUCUGAUUAAUUGGUGUAAUUGGGCUAACCUAAUCUAAUCAGAUUAGGGUUAGGUCAAGAGUCUGGAUCCACUGCUGGC